Molecule: ribosomal RNA, 442 nt
Filed under: uncultured bacterium
Lineage: Bacteria
Description: bacterial SSU rRNA
Rfam family: Bacterial small subunit ribosomal RNA
Source: RNAcentral
CCUANGGGUGGCAGCAGUAAGGGAUAUUGCGACAAUGGGCGAAAGCCUGACGCAGCAACGCCGCGUGAGGGAUGACGGCCUUCGGGUUGUAAACCUCUUUUCAGGGUGAAGAGGAAGGACGGUAGCCCUGGAAUAAGUCUCGGCUAACUACGUGCCAGCAGCCGCGGUAAAACGUAGGAGGCGAGCGUUAUCCGGAUUUACUGGGUGUAAAGCGCGUGCAGGCGGUGGUCUAAGUGGUGUGUGAAAGCGCCCGGCUUAACCGGGCGAGGCCGCAUUAGACUGGACCACUUGAGGCAGGUAGAGGCGUGUGGAAUUCCGGGUGUAGUGGUGAAAUGCGUAGAUAUCCGGAGGAACACCAGUGGCGAAGGCGACACGCUGGGCCUGGCCUGACGCUCAGACGCGAAAGCAUGGGGAGCGAACGGGAUUAGAUACCCCUNUANUC